Long non-coding RNA from Astatotilapia calliptera (eastern happy), 4579 nucleotides. Lineage: Eukaryota; Metazoa; Chordata; Actinopteri; Cichliformes; Cichlidae. The record is from Ensembl.
GGAAAGUAAAUGAUCUUAUUUAGUGAAUAAUACUUUAAAUGUGAAUAAAUCAGUUAUUGCUGAUUGUCCCCACAGCAAAUUCCAUGGAGACAUCUGGAUUUGUCCAGGACAAACUAACUGAAUGGGGAUUCAGUGAGUUCAUGCAGAGAUUUAAAGAUGAAGGCAUUGACAAGGAGACGUUUCUAAACCUUGGAGAUUCAAUCCGAAUUAAUUUACUGUUUCCUAAAAUUGGACCAAGAGUAAAGUUUAGAAAGAGACUCAAAGAUUACUUACAGAUGGAGAUAUGUCAUUUUGUCCAGGAAAAAUUAACUGAAUGGCAUCUCAGUGAGCUGAUUCACAGAUUUGAAGAGGAGGGUAUUGACAAAGAAGCUUUCCUAAGUCUCGAGUCAGGCAGAAUCAAUACUUUGAUUCCAAAAAUUGGACCAAGAGUAAAGUUUAAAAGGAGACUCAGAGAAUACUUACAGGACUUGAAUAGAACACAUGAUGAUUCUGCUGACAUGAUGGAAACAAGCGCAGAGCAAGAGGACAGUCCAGAAAUGGUAUGAUCUCAUUGUGCCUGAACAUGGUUCAUUAUUGAGUGAUUAAUCUUUGAUCAUUUUUGUUAUUAAUGUCAUCAUGUUAUUAUAGAAAAAUUAAUGUUGUCAGCGUUAAUCUCCUUAAGUAAAGUAAGUAAGUAAAAUUUUAUUUAAAUAGUACCUUUCAAGAUAAAAUCACAAAGUGCUUCACACAAGCAGAAAUGGACAUACAACCUCAAACAAACAAAAGCAACCAAAAGCAAGUUUAAACAGAUACAUUUUUAACUGCUUUUUAAAUGAAAUGACUGAGUCCACAGAUCUCGAACUCAAAGGGAGCGAGUUCCAGAGUCUGGGAGCCAUUGACACAAACGGUCUGUCAUUGUUUGUUUUUAACCUUGUAUGCUGGAAAACCAGCAAGCGCUGGUCACAAGACCUCAGGGACCUGCUGGGGCGAUAAGGCAGAAGGAGAUCACUGAUGUAAGUUGGAGCUACACCGUGCAGGGCCCUAUAGGUCAUGAUUAUAAUCUUAAAAUGAACCCUGAACUUGACAGGAUGUCAGACUUGACGUCCUGACACCAUAGCCGCAUUAACGCAGCAAAUCUACGUUAGCUGGUUACCGUGGAUCUCCCCAUGGGUGAGCUGGACGCCACUAAACAAUAACAAGCUUGUGCCAUAUUGUUAAAAUGACAUUAUGGCGUUAAUGUCAUUUUAAAGAGAUUAAUGUUGACAGCACUAAUCAAAAAUACAUUUUGAUGGAUUCAAGGACUCAUAUCUUUAGAGUAAAACAGGUGUCAAUAUGAGCAAAGUGAACCAGGUUAGCUGUUUACCUAAGUCCUCUGCAGAAUUCUCCAACACAGCUCAACUGUUUUUCACAAACUGUGAGUAAACAACAUGAAGGCCUGUGCCUUGUCUGGAUAAUUAUUUGGUAUUUGUUUUCACGCAGGAGCCAAACAUUUUUCCUCAACAUUUGGAAUCUUCUUCAGCGUCUGACACAACAGAUGGCAAAGACAGGGUAAGAAAGGAAGUCAGAAAAGAUACUUUUAAACUGGUUGAAGAUCCAGUGAUUUACAAUGAUUUUAUCUGAAGACAAACAUUUUGUCUCCAUAAUGCUGCAAUAAGAGGAGCAAUAAAUAAUGAAGCUAACAAAUUCAAACUGCUUCAAAUUAGUUUAAUAUAAAUAUCUGAAAUGCACCUUCAUCACGUGAAUAUGAAAUAUUAAGAGUAUAGGUAGGCCUGGCUGAUGUUUUGGCCUUGGUUUAGAUGCAGGACCACAACAUUUAUCCAUUUCAGUUGGAGUCUGCUUCAGCAGUUGACAGAGGCAGUGACACAGUAAGAAGGAAUAUUGAUGUUUCUCCUCAAGUCAUGUUGUUAUCCCAAUAUUAUUUGUGUAUAUAAAACACAUGUUUGUUUGUCUUUUCAGAGUAAUGAACCAAUUUGCUCCUGGGCAACAGUGACACAAGGACAAAGUCCAACCACAUUUACAAUGUUUUACUGUCAAGAGUGUAAAAACUUCAUGGGAAACGAUCCUGAUUCUUGUUGUUCUCACUGUGCCUCUGUGUUCAACAAAGCAAGCAGCAUUCAAAAUGGAAACUUCUUUCUGUACUCAUCCCUGAAAGACCUUCUGAAAGGUAUCCUUGAGAACCACAGCGCUGAGUUGUUACCUAAAACAGUUAAAGAUGAGCAUGAUAACAUCAAAGAUGUGAUGGAUGGGAUGAUGUACCAGAAUCUCCUCAGAGAGGGUAAACUAGCUGCAGAUGAUCUCACACUGACAUGGAAUUUUGAUGAAGUACCAAUUUUUAGCACCACCAGAUACUCAAUUUGGCCCCUUCAGUUUGUUAUUAAUGAACUUCCUUACACACAAAGACAGGAAAAUAUGAUAGUUGCUGGAUUUUGGUUUGGCCAAGGAAAACCUCAUAUGAACACAUUUCUGAAACCAUUUGUGGAUGAAUGUUGUGAUUUAGCCCAAAAUCCAUUUCAGUGGAGAGACAGCAGAGGCACUCUUCAUUCAUCAAAAGUCUUCUGCUUGGUUUGCUCCUCUGACGCUGUGGCGAGGCCACUUCUCCGGAAUUGCAAACAAUUCAAUGGAGAAUAUGGUUGUGACUGGUGUUUACACCCUGGCACAGUGGUACCAAAAGGCUCUGGCUCUAUGAGGUCAUACCGAUAUGAUGAAACUAAACAAGCAUCAAGAUCAAAAAAUAUGUUUGUUGAAAACACCUCAGAGUAUGGUGUAAAAGGAAUGUCCUUACUUUCCAGACUUCCUUUGUUUGACAUUGUGUUUGGAUUUGUACCAGAAUAUAUGCACUCAGUUUUAGUUGGUGUGACUAAGCAACUUAUUGGAUUGUGGCUGAACUCAGAGAACUCCAAGAAAGACUGGUAUGUAGGUCAACAGAUUUCACAGAUGGACUCUUAUCUCUUAAAGCCUCCAUCAGAAAUGAGCAGAUCUCUACAGUCACUGAAGGGUCGGGACUCUUGGAAAGCAUCUGACUGGCGAGCUUUCCUUUUAUUUUAUGCUGUUAGUGUCCUACCAGGCAUCCUUCAGCCUUCAUUUCUCCAGCAUUUUUUUUGUUUGUCGAUCAGCAUUCACAUUCUGCUACAAGAAUCAGUCUCCCAAAAUGACCUUCAGCUGGCCCAUGAGAACUUGGUACUCUUUGUUAGAAACAUGGAAGAACUCUAUGGUGAAGAAAACGUUUCAUUCAACUGCCAUCAGUUGAUCCACUUAGCUGACUGUGUGCGUAACUGGGGGCCUCUCUGGGCAACAUCAGCAUUCAGUUUUGAGAGGAACAGUGCAAAUUUAAGGGCACUGCUUAGCAACAUAAACUACAAUCCUCAAAAAAUUCAAGACAAGUUUCUCCGUUGGCAGCGCCUGCCGAGUCACCUUCGCUCCCUUGUUUCUAACGGAAAUUCUCCGUUAGCCAGAAUUUCACCAGUAAAUGAAACCACUGAUUGUUACGAUCUGCUUGGAAAUUCACGGCAUCUGGAUAUCACAGGAUCCAUAAAACUAGCAAUAGAAGAGCUCUUAAAUCGACCUGUUUCAUUCAGAUCAGUGGAAGCCUUUGACAGCUUCAUCAACAGAAAUACUGUUUACUCUGUAAACCAUGAAGAGACAAGAGACUGUGUCAUAAAACUCAAGAAUGGCUGCUAUGGAGAAAUACAGUUCAUCGUCAGGUUUAAAGAGAACUGUGUUUGCACAUCCAACUGUGUGUGCUCGGCUAUUUCAGUCAUUGUGGUCCAGCUGUUUUAUAUCAAACGUGAUGCAGAGGACAGCAGGAUGAUUCCUGACAGUGCAUCAAGGACUAUCUUUGUGGAAGUGGAAAGGACAACUCAGCUCAAAGCCUUCUUCUUGAGGGAUGUUAGGUGUAAAUGCAUGUAUGUGGAUGGUUGGCUGGUGACUUUACCAAACUCAUAUGAAAGAUAUUAAAGUUCCAGCACAGCUAAGGUGCUUUCUCUGUCUUGUAUAUCAUGGCACAUGGCUGUUUUUACUACAGUGAAAAUCUUGGAAAAAUGAAUGAUGAUGAAGUUUUUUCAAAGGAGUUUGGAGUCAUUUUGUUCAUAUGUGUGCGAGAUCUGUGGCUUACGUUUUCUUUUGGUGUGACAGUGUGGACAUAAUGUAGUCAGUGUAAUGUAGGAUUAUAUCACUCAGUACUGUAUGUGUAUUAUCUGUAUAUGGAGGAAAUUAUGGAGUGAUUUGUAAACAGCCAAAAGCUUGCCUUUCCCAACUUUGUAUUCACUACGUAUUUAUCAUACAUGUCAGUUUACCUCUAUUCAAACUGAAAUGCAAAUUAUUGUGACACAUAAACAUUUUGUGAAUUAACGCUAAAAAUCCGGGGUGAGUGGAUCAAUGUGGUUUACUGCAUCCUGAUACAGAUUGCUAUUACUGAGAUAACAGAUCAUAAAGCUUCAUAUUACCUCAUAUUAUUGUGUAAUGGCUGAUGAGACUUAUUCUGUUUAAAUCUGCAAUGUGUGCAAGUCUAUUGAAUAUAAUACAGAUUGAUUUGCUCAAGAAUGUUUGUAUCCUGCUACAUAAAAAUGAUUAUAAUUAAAGUCUUAUUACUUAAAUAUGCCUG